Molecule: ribosomal RNA, 443 nt
Filed under: uncultured bacterium
Lineage: Bacteria
Description: partial 16S ribosomal RNA
Rfam family: Bacterial small subunit ribosomal RNA
Source: RNAcentral
CCUACGGGUGGCUGCAGUGGGGAAUAUUUGACAAUGGGCGCAAGCCUGACCCAGCAACGCCGCGUGAAGGAAGGAGGCUUUCGGGUUGUAAACUUCUUUUCUCAUGGACGAAGCAAGUGACGGUACCUGAGGAAUAAGCCACGGCUAACUACGUGCCAGCAGCCGCGGUAAUACGUCGGUGGCAAGCGUUAUCCGGAUUUACUGGGUGUAAAGGACGUGGAGGCGGGACUGCAAGUCAGAUGUGAAAACCACGGGCUCAACCUGUGGCCUGCAUUUGAAACUGUAGUUCUUGAGUACUGGAGAGGCAGACGGAAUUCCUAGUGUAGCAGUGAAAUGCGUAGAUAUUAGGAGGAACACCAGUGGCGAAGGCGGUCUGCUGGACAGCAACUGACGCUGAGGCGCGAAAGCGUGGGGAGCAAACAGGAUUAGAUACCCGAGUAGUC